RNAcentral lists this ribosomal RNA (497 nucleotides) under uncultured bacterium. RNAcentral describes it as "partial 16S ribosomal RNA". It matches the Rfam family "Bacterial small subunit ribosomal RNA", at positions 28 to 507 of the family's 1533-position model. The record is from RNAcentral.
GAUGAACGCUGGCGGCGUGCCUAAUACAUGCAAGUCGAGCGAACAGAUGAGGAGCUUGCUCCUCUGACGUUAGCGGCGGACGGGUGAGUAACACGUGGAUAACCUACCUAUAAGACUGGGAUAACUUCGGGAAACCGGAGCUAAUACCGGAUAAUAUAUUGAACCGCAUGGCUCAAUAGUGAAAGACGGUUUUGCUGUCACUUAUAGAUGGAUCCGCGCCGCAUUAGCUAGUUGGUAAGGUAACGGCUUACCAAGGCGACGAUGCGUAGCCGACCUGAGAGGGUGAUCGGCCACACUGGAACUGAGACACGGUCCAGACUCCUACGGGAGGCAGCAGUAGGGAAUCUUCCGCAAUGGGCGAAAGCCUGACGGAGCAACGCCGCGUGAGUGAUGAAGGUCUUCGGAUCGUAAAACUCUGUUAUUAGGGAAGAACAAAUGUGUAAGUAACUAUGCACGUCUUGACGGUACCUAAUCAGAAAGCCACGGCUAACUACGUG